UGCAAGUCGAACGGUAACAGGGAAGAGCUUGCUCUUUCGCUGACGAGUGGCGCACGGGUGCGUAACGCGUAUACAAUCUGCCUUCAAGCGGGGGAUAGCCCAUGGAAACGUGGAUUAAUACCCCAUGGUAUAUAGACUUCACCUGGAGACUAUAUUAAACAUUUAUGGCUUGAAGAUGAGUAUGCGUCCUAUUAGCUAGAUGGAGUGGUAACGGCACCCCAUGGCAACGAUAGGUAGGGGUCCUGAGAGGGAGAUCCCCCACACUGGUACUGAGACACGGACCAGACUCCUACGGGAGGCAGCAGUGAGGAAUAUUGGACAAUGGAGGCAACUCUGAUCCAGCCAUGCCGCGUGCAGGAAGACUGCCCUAUGGGUUGUAAACUGCUUUUAUACAGGAAGAAACCUCCCCACGUGUGGGGAGCUGACGGUACUGUAUGAAUAAGGAUCGGCUAACUCCGUGCCAGCAGCCGCGGUAAUACGGAGGAUCCAAGCGUUAUCCGGAAUCAUUGGGUUUAAAGGGUCCGUAGGCGGGUUUAUAAGUCAGUGGUGAAAGUCUGUCGCUUAACGAUAGAAUUGCCAUUGAUACUGUAGAUCUUGAAUCAUUAUGAAGUGGUUGGAAUGAGUAGUGUAGCCGGUGAAAUGCAUAGAUAUUACUCAGAACACCUAUUGCGAAGGCAGAUCACUAAUAAUGUAUUGACGCUGAUGGACGAAAGCGUAGGUAGCGAACAGGAUUAGAUACCCUGGUAGUCUACGCCGUAAACGAUGGUCACUAGCUGUCCGGCCUAAUUGAGGGCUGGGUGGCCAAGCGAAAGUGAUAAGUGACCCACCUGGGGAGUACGUUCGCAAGAAUGAAACUCAAAGGAAUUGACGGGGGCCCGCACAAGCGGUGG
RNAcentral lists this ribosomal RNA (890 nucleotides) under Christiangramia sp. RNAcentral describes it as "bacterial SSU rRNA". It matches the Rfam family "Bacterial small subunit ribosomal RNA", at positions 56 to 935 of the family's 1533-position model. Lineage: Bacteria; Pseudomonadati; Bacteroidota; Flavobacteriia; Flavobacteriales; Flavobacteriaceae. The record is from RNAcentral.